Molecule: ribosomal RNA, 443 nt
Filed under: uncultured soil bacterium
Lineage: Bacteria
Description: bacterial SSU rRNA
Rfam family: Bacterial small subunit ribosomal RNA
Source: RNAcentral
AGAACGAACGCUGGCGGCAUGCCUAAUACAUGCAAGUCGAACGAACACUUCGGUGUUAGUGGCGCACGGGUGCGUAGCGCGUGGGAAUCUGCCCUUGGGUUCGGAAUAACAGUUGGAAACGACUGCUAAUACCGGAUGAUAUCGAAAGAUCAAAGAUUUAUCGCCCAGGGAUGAGCCCGCGUAGGAUUAGCUAGUUGGUGAGGUAAAGGCUCACCAAGGCGACGAUCCUUAGCUGGUCUGAGAGGAUGAUCAGCCACACUGGGACUGAGACACGGCCCAGACUCCUACGGGAGGCAGCAGUAGGGAAUAUGGACAAUGGGCGCAAGCCUGAUCCAGCAAUGCCGCGUGAGUGAUGAAGGCCUUAGGGUUGUAAAGCUCUUUACCGAGAUGAUAAUGACAGUACCGGAGAAUAGCUCGGCUAACUCCGUGCCAGCACGCCGUAC